AGCGAUGGGAAAUCAGUUCACCGCCAACAAUUAAACAGAAAAGUUCCACAAAGCCAAGCUAUAAAAAUAAUAAACGAAAUUAUGCAGCCAGAUAUGGAAGCUCCUAAACAAGAAAAUCGUAAAUUUGUCUUCUGUGGCCUGCGUAAGGAUCCCCAGGAAAACCAUGAACAUUGUGGACACCACGGCCAUCAUUGGCAUCAUGGGCAUCAUGGAUUUCAUGGACACCAUGGUCACCAUGGACAUCAUGAACAUCAUGGUCAUCAUGGACACUAUUGGCACCAUUUCGGACAUCGCUGGAAUCACCCAGCAUACCAACACCAUCAUGGUGCCCCUCCAUUUUGCUCCCAUCAUCACCGCAACCGCGAGCCGCCAAAAUAUUUUGGACCCACCCUCAUAAAGAGCAAUGGAUUCAGUCUUUACUAUUAUGAUACAAUGAAAUCCUAAAUGAAUGAAAUUGCACCCAGAUAAAGAGAUGCCACAAAACUUAAUGAUG
Molecule: non-coding RNA, 493 nt
Organism: Drosophila melanogaster (fruit fly)
Lineage: Eukaryota; Metazoa; Arthropoda; Insecta; Diptera; Drosophilidae
Source: Ensembl